ACUUGUUGCUUCCAACAAGUAACCCAAUUUUUCUCUUAUACCACGUGUAGGGUUCAAAUUCGAUAUGUUUCUUCCUCCACCAUCACCUCCCUAAAUAUAUACUUGUCACGUUCAACAAGUAACUCAAUUUUGCUCCUAUGCUACACUGCGUAUAUGAUUCCAUUCUAUUUGUUUUCUCCUCCAUCAUCACGAUAAUCACCUCCCUGUAUAUAUACUUGCUACGAACAAGCAACUCAAUUUUGCUUUUAUACUACACAUAUAAUUCAAAUUCGAUGUGUUUCCUCCUCCACCAACACGACAAUCGCCUCCCUAAAUAUAUACUUGUUGUUACCAACAAGUAGCUCAAUUUUACUCUUAUACUACAUAAAUGAUUCAAAUUUGAUAUGUUUCCUCCUCCAUCAUCAUGAUCAUCAUCUCCCUAAAUAUAUACUUGUCGCUUCCAACAAGUAGCUCAAAUUUGCUCCUAUACUACGUAUAUGAUUCAAAUUCAAUCUGUUUCCUCCUCCGUCAUCAAGAUCAUCACCUCCCUAGCUAAUUAUAUACUUGUUGCUUCAAACAAGGAACCUAGUUUUUCUGUUAUACCAUGUGUAGGAUUCGAAUUUGAUAUGUUUCUUCCUCCACCAUCACCUCCCUAAAUAUAUACUUGUCGCGUACAACAAGUAACUCAAUUUUUCUCCUAUACUACAUAUAUGAUUUAAAUUCGAUAUGUUUUCUCCUCCACCAUCACGACCAUCACCUCACUAAAUAUAUACUUGUCGCUUCCAACAAGUAACUCAAUUUUGCUCUUAUACUAUGUAUAUAAUUCAAAUUCGAUCUGUUUCCUCUACCAUCACGACCAUCACCUCCUUAAAUAUAUAAUUGUCGCUUCCACAAGUAACUCAAUUUUUAUCUUAUACUACGCAUAUAAUUCAAAUUCGAUCUGUUUCCUCCUCCACUAUCACGACCAUCACCUCCCUAAAUAUAUACUUGUCGCUUCCAAAAAGUAAAUCAAUUUUUCUCUUAUACUACUUAUAUGAUUAAAAUUCAAUCUGUUUCCUCCUCCACUAUCACGACCAUCACCUCCCUAAAUAUAUACUUGUCGCUUCCAAAAAGUAAAUCAAUUUUUCUCUUAUACUACUUAUAUGAUUAAAAUUCAAUCUGUUUCCUCCUCCACAUCACGACCAUCACCUCCCUAAGUAUAUAUUUGUCGUUUUCAACAAGUAACUCAAGACUACGUAUAUGAUUCAAAUUCGAUCUGUUUCCUCCACCACCAUCAUGACAAUCACUUCCCUAAAUAUAUACUUGUCGUUACAAACAAGUAGCACAAUUUUGAUCCUAUACAACGUACAUAAUUCAAAUUCGAUUUGUUUCUUCCACCAUCAGAACUAUCACCUCCCUAAAUAUAUACAAUUAAUGUGCAGGUAAUCUCUCUUUGGUUCCUAAGAAGAUACAAGCGAUGGCAUUACGAGACUUGUCCACUGAUGUUGCAGAGAUGAAAGGGAAAUUAUUUCGACUUCAAGAUAUGACUACUUGUGGGAAAUAAUGCAAGGUGAAGUAUCCUUGGAGUGCGCAGAUUGUAAUUACUUCGCGCAAAGGAUGGAUGUAACUACUAUUAUAGGCUUGAUAUGCCUUUGUGUAUAUUCAAGCAUUUUAAAUAAUGUUGCGUUUCCAAGUUUGUAUAAUAAGAAAAUAAAUAUGUAACCUAGCUAGUUUUCCAUAUAUUGGGAAACUAGGGAGAUUUUCCAUUUACUGGGAAACUAGGGAGAGUUUGCAAAAUAGACACUUUCAAAACUUA
Molecule: long non-coding RNA, 1774 nt
Organism: Capsicum annuum
Lineage: Eukaryota; Viridiplantae; Streptophyta; Magnoliopsida; Solanales; Solanaceae
Exons: 2
Source: RefSeq, a predicted model, not a curated record